UUCCUCCCUCAUCACCGAACUCUCGGAUAUGGAUUGGGUGCAGUCAAUGACUGUGACUGCAUGCAGUCGGUAGAUCACAGCCAUUCGAUUACAAUCGGACGGUUCAGAGUUUAAAGUUAAAAUAUUUAUAUUUUAUAAAAUUAAAACUGCACUAAGAUCUGAGCUGUCCGAUUUUCAUCAAACGGUUCAGAGCAGCUGACUGCAUCCUGACUGCACCAUAGCUGACUGCUCUGAAUCCAAUUCCCGAACUCUCUCUUCUCUCAUUUGCUCCAUUCCCAAUUUUUCUUUCUUUUAGCUUUGUGAGAAAUCUAGGAAGAAUUUGGAGAAGAGGCCUUAAGAAAAGUUGAUCCUUGUUAUCUUGUGGUUCUUUUGAUACUAAAUUUGAGAUUGAUAGCUGGUUCCACGUUUCUUGCGCUGCGUAUUUUUGGUUAUAUACUUAUAUGUGGUUUUUAGAUCGUGACCCUCUACAACAACAUUUUUAGAUUGAUACUGGUUCCGCGUUGAGAAGCGGCGAGGCUUGAAGCUGUCUGCGGGUCUUUGUCACCCAAUUAUCUUUAGUUAGAGUUCAAAGAUCAGCUUAGGGGUAGUAGUUUAAGAGUCUCGUUUACUCUUUUUUAUUGUUCUCUGAUUUGAUUAUGUGAAUUAAUUGUAUUUAUAUUGAUUUGAAUAAAUGUCGUCACUAUGUUUCUUUCGACAUAGCUUUUUUGUUAUGCUUGUAAACUUUUAUCGAGAAAACAAUUUAUAAAAGAUGCAUUGCAUUC
Trifolium pratense (red clover) is the source of this 761-nucleotide long non-coding RNA. RefSeq lists it as uncharacterized. The transcript has 2 exons. The record is from RefSeq and is a predicted model, not a curated record. Lineage: Eukaryota; Viridiplantae; Streptophyta; Magnoliopsida; Fabales; Fabaceae.